This 1060-nucleotide ribosomal RNA is filed under the name Serratia symbiotica. RNAcentral describes it as "bacterial SSU rRNA". It matches the Rfam family "Bacterial small subunit ribosomal RNA", at positions 57 to 1103 of the family's 1533-position model. Lineage: Bacteria; Pseudomonadati; Pseudomonadota; Gammaproteobacteria; Enterobacterales; Yersiniaceae. The record is from RNAcentral.
GCAGUCGANCGGUAACAGAGGAAAGGCUUGCCUUUUCUGCUGACGAGUGGCGGACGGGUGAGUAAAGUAUGGGGAUCUGCCGAAUGGAGGGGGACAACUGCUGGAAACGGCAGCUAAUACCGCAUAAAGUUGAGAGACCAAAGCGUGGGACUUUUUAGCCACGCGCCAUUUGAUGAACCCAUAUGGGAUUAGCUUGUUGGUAGGGUAAUGGCUUACCAAGGCGACGAUCUCUAGCUGGUCUGAGAGGAUGACCAGCCACACUGGAACUGAGACACGGUCCAGACUCCUAUGGGAGGCAGCAGUGGGGGAUAUUGCACAAUGGGGGAAACCCUGAUGCAGCCAUGCCGCGUGUAUGAAGAAGGCUUUCGGGUUGUAAAGUACUUUCGGUAAUGAGGAAGGUGUAUUAUCUAACAGGUAAUGCAAUUGACGUUAGUUACAGAAGAAGCACCGGCUAACUCCGUGCCAGCAGCCGCGGUAAUACGGAGGGUGCGAGCGUUAAUCGGAAUAACUGGGCGUAAAGGGCAUGCAGGCGGGUCAUUAAGUUAGGUGUGAAAUCCCCGGGCUCAACCUGGGAACUGCACUUAAAACUGGUGGUCUGGAGUAUUGUAGAGGAAGGUAGAAUUCCACGUGUAGCGGUGAAAUGCGUAGAGAUGUGGAGGAAUACCGGUGGCGAAGGCGGCCUUCUGGACAAAUACUGACGCUGAGAUGCGAAAGCGUGGGGAGCAAACAGGAUUAGAUACCCUGGUAGUCCACGCUGUAAACGAUGUCGAUUUGGAGUUUGGUGGCAUGACUGCUGGGCUUCGAAGCUAACGCGUUAAAUCGACCGCCUGGGGAGUACGGCCGCAAGGUUAAAACUCAAAUGAAUUGACGGGGGCCCGCACAAGCGGUGGAGCAUGUGGUUUAAUUCGAUGCAACGCGAAGAACCUUACCUGGUCUUGACAUCCACAGAAUUCUGUAGAGAUACGGGAGUGCCUUAGGGAGCUGUGAGACAGGUGCUGCAUGGCUGUCGUCAGCUCGUGUUGUGAAAUGUUGGGUUAANGUCCCCGCAACGAGCGCAACC